Molecule: microRNA, 21 nt
Filed under: Petromyzon marinus (sea lamprey)
Lineage: Eukaryota; Metazoa; Chordata; Hyperoartia; Petromyzontiformes; Petromyzontidae
Description: pma-miR-212-5p
Gene: pma-miR-212-5p
Source: miRBase by way of RNAcentral
CGUCGUGACGUGGGAUUGAUU